Molecule: non-coding RNA, 72 nt
Organism: Potamilus streckersoni
Lineage: Eukaryota; Metazoa; Mollusca; Bivalvia; Unionida; Unionidae
Source: the annotation of a GenBank genome assembly
GCCAUCUGGCUUAGUGGUUAGAGCAACCGCCUUGGAUGUUGGAGAUCGUGGGUUCGAUUCCCAGUUGAGUCA